This 301-nucleotide ribosomal RNA is filed under the name uncultured bacterium. RNAcentral describes it as "partial 16S ribosomal RNA". It matches the Rfam family "Bacterial small subunit ribosomal RNA", at positions 509 to 809 of the family's 1533-position model. The record is from RNAcentral.
CAGUCGCCGCGGUAAUACGAAGGGUGCAAGCGUUACUCGGAAUUACUGGGCGUAAAGCGUGCGUAGGUGGUGGUUUAAGUCCGUUGUGAAAGCCCUGGGCUCAACCUGGGAAUUGCAGUGGAUACUGGGUCACUAGAGUGUGGUAGAGGAUAGUGGAAUUUCCGGUGUAGCAGUGAAAUGCGUAGAGAUCGGAAGGAACAUCUGUGGCGAAGGCGACUAUCUGGGCCAACACUGACACUGAGGCACGAAAGCGUGGGGAGCAAACAGGAUUAGAUACCCCGGUAGUCCCUGUCUCUUAUAA